CUUCAUACCAGGUAAAUGUUAUGUCUUGUAGUAUUCUACCAUAGUGCAUAUGUUAUGGAUUCUUUUUAUUAUUAUUUUAUUUUAUGUUUAUAUUACACUGACCUGUAAUAUAUUGGUUGCUGUGAGGUUUGCCCAACAGGACAGAUCUAAGAUAGAAAUUAGCAUUUCUGAUUUUCUAGUUCAAAGUUUAUGUAGAGUACAAAAAUACUGAAAAAAGUUCAUCUAAGGAAAAAAUCUCUAUACAUAACCUUGUUAAUACUUCUUUGAUGGUUCUAGGAUGGAAUAUUAAAUGCAUGUUUAAAAGAAGGAUCCUUAAGGAAAAUAGUGGUUCUGCUAGACUUUCUUAGUGCACUGCAUUCAUUUUAAACAGGAAAUCAUUUUGAUUUCAAUGCCAUAUUAGCAUGCCUUUUGCUUUACGAUAUCAGUACUGGACUAUUAAAACUCACUGCAGGUUGAUGUUGCUUUUUGAUAUGGCACCAUUCAAACAUAUAUUAUAUUUGAAGAUGUGCAGGAUUACUGAGAACUUCAAUCAACAUUUUUGGCCUUUGUAAAGGAUCUUAGCCAGGCAUUUUGUUCAGUUACACUCUAUCUGAUGCCACAACAUACGUGGUAGUACUGCUUUCGGAAAGUGCGAAACUGAUAUAUUGUGCCAUCUAUGGCAGCAUUUGUUCAGCAUUUGCUACAAACAGGAGAAAAAAGAUACCGAAUGCAUGGAUUGAUUUUCAAAUUACCUCAAUAUUUUGAAAACAUUUUCACCUGCAUGCUGAGAAUGCUAAGAAUGGGAAGGAAGGCAAUUGUGCACUUGCACAGCCUCCACUGCAUUCAUUUAUAAAUUACCUCAUCACUGACUGAAAUUAACACUGAUUCUUACAGGCAAUUUCUCAAUUUCCAAUGCUAAUUACAUUUUUUUUACUUUUAAAUUCUGUACCACCUGUUUUGGGCAAGACAUCUUAGGCAGCGCGACCGCAUUUAAUCACAAUUUUAAUUAACCGCCCUGUAGAUGUGAAAAAGAAGCAAUUAUAAUGUAGAUGAAUGAUGAUUUUUCUGCAUUAAAUUGUUUUGUUUCCCUGGUAUGUUGAUUGUAACACAGCACACAAAUACAGUAACUGUACAAUUUUUUUCUAUUGUAAUUUAGUAAUUGUUUUUGGAAAACCAGUUUGGGAAUGAGUGACUUCAUCUGUUUACAAAUUGAUUGAUACUGUUAACUCACUGAUUGCUGCAGCAUACAUUUUGUAUUGCACAGCCUAGCAUAAAAUAUAAUUAGGCAUGCAUAGACUUUGCAGCACCAUUUUGGAAACUGAAAAUCAACUGUAACUGAAGUAUGUUUUUCUUGAGUGUACUAGUAUCAGUUGGGGCUGAUAAUCAAAAAGCAGCGGGCUAUUCCGAUCCCACUGCUGUUAGAAACCCUUGGAUUUAAUCUGAUAGUCUAAUGUAAUAAGUUUGCAGUAAGUUUUUUGAAUUGUGCUGUAACAGACCUGAAAGUAGGGGCUGGGAAGCAUGAAGCUUGCACAACUCACUAAGAUCAAUAUCACAAGGAUCAUACAAGUGAUGUAAAGAAACAAGGAUGGAAAAAAAGACCUGGAGCUUAUGAAGGGAAGGAAUUGUUACGGGCACUUUGGCACAGUGCACUAGUGUGCUGUUGCACUGGCUAUCUCCAGCUACGCAUUACAGUAGGAUAAGAUCUCAUUCAGACUCAUGGCUUGCAGAUAUGAAUCUUUCAAGUUAUAUAUAUCAAUGCAUAGAAAUUCAAAGAUCUUAUUUGUAUGAGGCUGAGUCUGUUUUCUUUCUCAGGGAGGGACAUAACAUUGGACUCAGAGAGAAGCAGAUGUGCAGUGCUGGCAACACUGGUGUAUUUGGAACUGCAGACUGAACAACUACUGUGCUCUGGAUAGUCCUGGACUACAAUCCUGCAGGGGAUUUCCUAACCCGUGGAGAGAGUCCCUUGAGUAAAGUUGAGUUCCUAUAUAAGACACAUUCCCUUCCUCUAGAAGUGGUGAAAUUUUAGGGUUCCAGGACUGCAAGUUAUCAUAGUUAUAACUACUGAGGAAACUGGCAGAGGGCUAAAAAUGAAUGCAACCCUGAUUUCUAGCUCUAUGACAUCAGUUGUCUCCUCUCCAGCUUCCUUCUUUUGCAGUCCUCUGACUGUGAAGCCCUUAGCCAUGAGAAUGUGUAAAGUCACAUUGUGAAAAGUCACAUUAGCCUGGGUCAUGUUCCAUCCCAGUCAAGUUUAUGAUGUCACUAACAGCAAAGAAGAAAUACAAACAGAGGGAAAAAGAUCAAGAUCUGGGGCCCGAUCCUGCUGUCUUUGAAGCCAGGGAGAAUUUUGCUAUUAAUGUCAAUUACAGCAAUGUCAAGCCUAUGGCUAGGACAUUGUGAGGAGCCCUAGUUCUUCUCCUUUCUCCUGUCUGUUUCAUAAAUAUUUGCUAAUAAAGUAUUAAUAGAGAUCAUAAAAUCUACACCAAGGUUCAUUUUGAUUGUUUAGUAAGAAUCCAUCUCAUUCAUACUUAAAAGGGCCUAUUAUCUCACUGUGCAAGAGAUUUACAUGCGUAACUCCCAUUAACUCUUAUGGGACAUAGGCAUGUAAAUCUCUUGUGCAUCUAGAGAAGAAUAGACCACAUAAGGUCUUGUGAUCUAUACUGCUAGUAGGUUUCAGUCCCUUUCAUUUAUAAAACUAUCCAAAAAUUAACCAUUAAAGCUUAUUCUGUGCAAGCUGUCCCCUACAUAUAUCAUCCCGCUUGCUGUUGGAAGUACUCGAUGUAAAUGCACACUGUGGAAAGGUACCAUAGAAAGCAAGCCCAUUCAUUUUAGUUAGUAAAACUGUCAUAGUUGAAAGGAAGCAGACUAAGGGCAGGUAGAAAAAUUGUACAGGUUUUACCCAGCAGAUUCAAUUUCAGAUUUAGGCUCUAGACUGAGCUGUUUGGAGAAGGAAUACUUUCAUUUUGUGGAGCAUUCCCUUCCCCUCCUCCUCCACCCUCCACUUACAGCCCUCAAGUAAAGCACUGGGUAUUAUAAAGGAAGAGGGCAAAAUAUCCCUGAACAGCUGGAAUGAUAGAAGCUUUACACAAUCAAACUAAGAUGCUCUGCCUAAGGAAGAUGAAAUCUUUUAUUUCAUAAACUUGUUUGAGCUGAAAUGUUCAUGGGGAAGCCUGUAAAAGUGGGAACAUCUGUGUUCCUGCUGGGAUUUGAUGGCUCACCACAAACCUUUCCAUAAGCAUUUUGUCUUUGAUAUGAAACAAAGAGGAAAAUACCUGAUCCCCAGCCUCAGUCAGUCGCAGCUCCCUGUAUCUUCACACCCUGACCUACUGAACAUUCCUUCCAGCAAAGAGCUGCUUCCCAUGGCUACCUCCUCAGUGUAAGCUAGCUAACUAAUCUCUUAGCAAACACUUGCAGCAAACCUGAAGAGAGUUUGAAAAGAAGAAGAAGAGGGGGAAAAAAACUUUUUUUGAGAUAAAGCCUAAGGCAUUUCCAAUAGGAAGGAAUCAGAAUCUAUAUUUAGGUCUACAUACUCUAGUUUUCUCUUGAUAAACCAAUGAGAUGUAAAGUUAUGGCCAUCUAAUGAACCUUUUUUAUCUUAAUCCUGUUUCCUCCUCCUUUCCAUUAACCUGCCAUAAACUCACUUGCUUUAUUACUGCCUACCAAUAAGCACGUGACUGUGCUUACAGGUAUUUGCAAAGUGCUCCCUUUAUCACAACAACACUGUAGGGAUGAUAUGUCAUUUGAAAAGUCCAUCCAGUGUGCCCUGUCUGCACAUAGGGGUAACCUUUCCUUAGGAGCUUAUAAGAAAAUCCACUGUUGAAAUAAAUAACAACUCUCAACAAAUGAUCAAAGAAAAAAUAAAUCUUUUACCCUUAUAAGACUUUUUAAAACUGAAAUCCCAUUUUUAACUGGAUAACAGUUAAGAGGCUAGCAGCCACCUAUUUAUCUGGGAACUGUGUUUUAAAUGUUUGCUGCAUGGAAAUUGGACAGACAAAUGGAUCUGCAGUUCUUGGGAGUGAGAGCUUUUAAAAUAAAGUUUGUAUGUAAUAUAUGAAAACAUAUUGUUUGGAAUUUAAGUUCUAAUAUCUAGGAAUAAACAGAGCAUUAAAUCAAGCAAAACUGUGACAAGGCCAAUAUGCACAUGGAUGAUGCCAGCGAGGCAUCUCCAACCCUUUGUUCACAGCUUAACAAAACUGUGCCGUCACACCACUUUAGCUCAACAGUGCCUGUCGAAUGGGCAUCAGCAGAUCAGCCAAUGCCUGUCACACACACAGCUGAAAAACUGUUUGAAAGCAAGGCUUACUUUAGCACAAGUCUGGUAGGAAAAGUGUGAGGGAUUUUUAAUCAUCUAAUAAAGACCAAAAAAUGUUUUUUUAAAUGUAGGCAAAAAUAUUUACAGCCCUCUUCCCAGGAGAAGUAGCACAGUUCUCUUCUUUUUUACCUUGGAAAAGCAACCAAGAGUGGCUCUAAUACCCUUGAAUAUUCUUUGAUAGUUUACUUCCUUUACUGCAACUGGGGGGGAAGGGUCAUAAACAGGAUCUAAAGCUGUUUUUAAUAUGUAAUAUGCUGUCAUGGUUUUUUCCCUUCUCAUUUUUAAAAAAUAUUCUAUUUAAAAAAAAUCAUUUUCAUGUCAGCCUGAUCUGAGGCCUCGCCUGUGACAGAGGGUAAAUGAAAUAACAUAUUCAAGGAAAUGUUUGUUUUUAUUGUAAUGCAAUUAUCUUUGGAGAUGAACAUCUCUCUCUCCCUCUCUGUCUUUUUUAGCUGAUCAAAAUAUGUUUUCGUUGGUAUUAACAACCUUCUCAGUCAAUUUUCUUAACAUUUGUGGUGCAUAAACAUGACACUACUCCAGAAAGAACUGCAGCAAAAUGCGCUUAUUAAUUCUAAUGAUGCCAACUUUGAUGAUUACUUCCCUACGUAUUUUACCAUGUGGGUACCGUUUACCAUUGUCUUCAAAGUCCAAAGGAGGCUCCAUGCAACUUUGGCAUGACAAUUAUGGAUGACCACUCCUCUUCAGCCAUCCAAUCAGAUUAAACUAGAGUUCAGACCCACUGAAGGAGACAGCCUGGUUUCUAGUCCAUAACAAAAAAGGCCGGAAUGGUACCAGGUCCCUCAAACCAGCCUGGAAAUACCUGCCCGUAUCCUAAACUACCUGACAGUAUACAGUACUAUUAAGAGCUAAAAUAUUUCGAGUUGAUGUUUUUCCCCCACUAAAGUUGGAAAGCUUGCUCUCCCUCUCUCUCUUUCUGUCUUUCACUCUGCUGCUGUCAGUUUGCUGCCUGCACUUUAGCUGUCUCUUUCCCAGUCCCUACCCUGUCAGUUUCUGGCCUGCCAAUUUCAACUUGAAGCUUGACUGGGCUGAUUUGAUGCAAAUACCUCCAGGGAAAACCCUGAAACUGAUGAACAGUUAUGUCAAGUCGAUUUUGCACCAUCGGGAAAAGGUAACCUCUGCGAGAAAAAAAAACAACAAGGUUAAAGAGACAAGGGCUUUUCACGUGUAAUACCACUGCUGCACAUCUCGUUCACUGUUUACCAUCCCUCAGAAAUUGUAACUGUCAGAAUUAGUCCUAAUUGCAGAUGCGAAAGCUGCCAUUAUAAUAAAAACAGAGGCAGUGCAGGCAUUAAAUGUAGCAGCCUAAUUUGUGAGACUACUGAAAAGGUAGAGUAAAUGAAUAUUUCAUUACUUUAAUUACCAGGGACUACUCUUUUCUUGCUGUCUUAUGAUAAGUGUUGCUGUAACUAGCAACAGCAAACAUCCACUAAAACAUAAAGUGCAAUAAUAGUACUGCUGUCAGGAUCACUGCUUUAAAAUACGAGGGGGGGGAGGAGAUAUAAUGGGUUAUCUAUUUCUUGGAGAUUCGCAGGAGUAGGAGAUGGAAACUCAUUUAACGUCAAAAAACAAAGAGGCGAGUAAACAGGUUUUAGUCAAAGAAAAUAAUGGCCCAGAGGGGG
Long non-coding RNA from Gavialis gangeticus (Gharial), 5925 nucleotides. RefSeq lists it as uncharacterized. NCBI's taxonomy places the organism in Eukaryota, Metazoa, Chordata, Crocodylia, Gavialidae. The record is from RefSeq and is a predicted model, not a curated record. The transcript has 2 exons.